Molecule: ribosomal RNA, 278 nt
Filed under: uncultured prokaryote
Description: partial 16S ribosomal RNA
Rfam family: Bacterial small subunit ribosomal RNA
Source: RNAcentral
UACGUAGGGUGCGAGCGUUGUCCGGAAUUAUUGGGCGUAAAGGGCUCGUAGGCGGCCUGUUGCGUCUGCCGUGAAAGCCCGGGGCUUAACUCCGGGUCUGCGGUGGAUACGGGCAGGCUAGAGUUCGGUAGGGGAGACUGGAAUUCCUGGUGUAGCGGUGGAAUGCGCAGAGAUCAGGAGGAAUACCGAAGGCGAAGGCAGUCUUCCAAGCCGUUAUUGACGCUCAACUGCGAAGGUGUGGGUAUCAAACAGGAUUAGAUACCCGCGUAGUCCCUGAG